RNAcentral lists this ribosomal RNA (493 nucleotides) under uncultured bacterium. RNAcentral describes it as "bacterial SSU rRNA". It matches the Rfam family "Bacterial small subunit ribosomal RNA", at positions 18 to 507 of the family's 1533-position model. The record is from RNAcentral.
CCUGGCUCAGAUUGAACGCUGGCGGAAUGCUUUACACAUGCAAGUCGAACGGCAGCACGGGGCAACCUGGUGGCGAGUGGCGAACGGGUGAGUAAUACAUCGGAACGUGCCCAAUCGGUGGGGAUAACGUAGCGAAAGUUACGCUAAUACCGCAUACGAUCUACGGAUGAAAGCGGGGGAUCGCAAGACCUCGCGCGAAUGGAGCGGCCGAUGUCAGAUUAGGUAGUUGGUGGGUAAAGGCUCACCAAGCCAACGAUCUGUAGCUGGUCUGAGAGGACGACCAGCCACACUGGAACUGAGACACGGUCCAGACUCCUACGGGAGGCAGCAGUGGGGAAUUUUGGACAAUGGGCGCAAGCCUGAUCCAGCCAUUCCCGCGUGCAGGAUGAAGGCCUUCGGGUUGUAAACUGUCUUUUGUACGGAACGAAAAGGUCCUGGUUAAUACCUGGGGCUCAUGACGGUACCGUAAGAAUAAGCACCGGCUAACUACGUG